AAGUGGGAUUUAGAGUUCGGCAUUCAGACAGCCGAACCACGUUCACUAUUAAGACUUAUAUUCGCUUUGAGUAUUUGUGCCCUUACACUUUGGUGUCGAUUCGGCGUAAGUUUACUCUGACGAAUAACAUCACUGUGACCGAAUCUGACGACGGUGAUUCGUGAACUUCGUAAGAAUAGUAGCCUUGUCUUUAGGUUCGAGAAC
This 204-nucleotide long non-coding RNA is filed under the name Malus domestica (apple). Its description in RNAcentral is "long non-coding RNA (MDOM_LNC004561)". The record is from RNAcentral. Lineage: Eukaryota; Viridiplantae; Streptophyta; Magnoliopsida; Rosales; Rosaceae.